GCGGCUAGCUCAAUUGGUUAGAGCACAAGACUUUUAAUCUUGGGGUCGUGGGUUCAACUCCCACGUCGCA
This 70-nucleotide transfer RNA is filed under the name Hyphomicrobium album. It matches the Rfam family "tRNA". Rfam says of the family: Transfer RNA (tRNA) molecules are approximately 80 nucleotides in length. Lineage: Bacteria; Pseudomonadati; Pseudomonadota; Alphaproteobacteria; Hyphomicrobiales; Hyphomicrobiaceae. The record is from Rfam by way of RNAcentral.